Gossypium hirsutum (cotton) is the source of this 130-nucleotide non-coding RNA. NCBI's taxonomy places the organism in Eukaryota, Viridiplantae, Streptophyta, Magnoliopsida, Malvales, Malvaceae. The record is from Rfam.
UGUUAAAAAAUUCAUCCAUUUGUAUUUUUAAAAACUGACUUGACUGAUAGAACAACCUGGUAGUUACACGUACCUCAUUCUGACAUACAUGGACUAGUUUUUAAUAGUAAAAAGGAUGGAACUUUAAACA